UGUAUGUUGAUGCAAUAUUUCAAUCAAUAAUGCAUGCAGCUCCUUCUUCCACUCAGCCUCUUUUCUUAUAGAUUAUAGUCUCCACUGUUUCUUGAAAGCAAAUAAAACACCCAAAAGGCAAAAAGCAUUAUAAAUAAAUAAAAUCAAGAACCCAAAUCACAACAAGGAAGUGGAAAGGAAUUAGCUAUGGCAGAGGUGCUGAAGAAGAAGAAGAAGAAGAAGCCAUUAAAGCUCUUAUUACUUUUCUUGUUUUUUGCCAUGGUGGAUUACUCAGAGCAAAUGCUCCCACCUUCCCAGUUCCAAGCCAUUCAGAGGAUCAAACAGGAGCUGAGCUUCCCAGUGGAGCUAAGCAGUUGGAGUGAGAACUCAGAUUUCUGCAACACUGAGCCACUCCCAAUCCUAACACUGGUGUGCUAUGAAGAUAACAUAACACAGCUCCAUGUGGCUGGGAAUGGGGUUUUCCCUCAAUUUCCUCAAGAGAUUUCCACUUCUUUCCUCUUCUCCAAUCUUGCUAGCCUCCCUAACUUGAAGGUCCUCUCUUUAGUUUCUUUGGGUCUGAGAGGCCCUUUGCCUCCAAGUAUUGGGCUUUUGUCUUCUUUGGAGAUUGUGAAUAUAAGCUCAAACUCCUUUAAUGGCAGCCUUCCAUUGGAGAUUUCAUCUUUGAAGGGGCUUCAGACACUUGUGUUGGAUAAUAACAGGUUCACAGGUCAGGUUCCUGAUUGGUUAGCUUCACUUCCUGCUUUGACUGUGCUGAGUUUAAAGAAUAAUUCUUUUAGUGGUUUAUUGCCCAGUUCUUUGACUAGUUUAAAGCUGUUGAGAAAUGUUGUUGUUUCUGGGAAUAAUCUGUCUGGGGAUUUGCCUAAUUUCCACAAUUUGUCAAACCUUCAAGUUCUUGAUUUGGAGGGUAAUAGUUUUGGGCCUAAUUUCCCUAGUUUGCCUACAAAGCUAGUGGCCUUGAUGUUGGGGAAGAACAAGUUUGGGUUUGGGGUACCAGAUGAAGUGAAGUCUUGUUAUCUGUUAACAAAGAUGGAUAUUUCUGAGAAUGAGUUUGUGGGGCCCCUUCCACAAUCCUUGUUGUCAAUGCCAUCAAUUGAUUACCUUGAUAUUUCUGGGAAUAAGUUCACUGGGAAACUCUUCAAGAACAUGUCAUGUAACUCUCAGCUUUCUUAUGUGGACUUCUCAUCGAACCGCUUCACUGGGGAGUUGCCUGAUUGUUUGCACCCGGGUACUGGUCACAGGACAGUUUCGUACUCCGGUAAUUGCUUGUCAGAUAUUGAGCAAUGGCAGCAUCGCGAGUCGUUCUGUCACAACGAAGCCCUGGCUGUUAGAAUCAUGCCUACCAACCACAAGGAGAAACGACCAUAUGCUAAAGUGGUUCUUGCAUCGAGUAUGGUGGGAGGGCUUAUUGGAGGAACAGCGCUUCUUGGUUUGGCGUUUUUUGUUGUGAAGAAGAAAUUUGCUAAGCAGCAGCAAAUUAACAGAACCCCGAAUGCUCGACUCAUAUUGGAAAAGGUGCCACCUGCAUACACGCUAAAGCUGCUAAACGAUGCAAGAUAUAUUUCAGAAAAAAGGAAGUUUGGACUGCUUGGCAUUCCCCCUUAUCGGACAUUUGUUUUGGAUGAGCUUAGGGAGGCGACAAAUAACUUUGACGCAGCAAAUAUACUAGGAGAAGGCUCUUGUCGCCAGAUCUACAAAGGCAUGCUCACGGAUGGCACGGUGGUUGCCAUAAGAAGCUUGAAAACGAGGAAGAAGCACAGCAUCCAGCACUACACUCACCAACUCGAGCUGGUUUCAAAGAUUAGGCAUUGCCACUUAGUUAGUGCUAUAGGCCACUGCUUCGAGUGCUAUCAGGAUGAUUCGAGCGUCAGCAGAAUAUUUCUCGUGUUCGAGUUCGUACCAAAUGGAACACUGAGAGAAGUCAUAUCAGAGGGAAAUGCUGGGCAAAAGUUCUCGUGGUCACAAAGGAUGAUGGCUAUGUUAGGAAUUGCGAGGGGAAUUCAGUUUCUACACACUGGGAUAGUGCCGGGCAUUUUCUCAAAUCACUUGAAGAUAACAGAUAUCUUACUGGAUCAUGACUUCCAUGUGAAAAUUAGCAAAUACAAUCUGCCUUUGUUAGCUGAGAAUAAGAACAUGGAUGCUUUUGGUGCGUCUUCUAGUGGAGGGAAGGAGAGUGCAGGUCAGCAUUUAAGGAGAAAGUUGAUGUCUAUGGCUUCGGAGUAAUUUUACUUGAAACCAUAGUGGGAAGGAAAAUGAUGACCCCAAAUGACAUUGAUGUCUCCAAAGACAUAUUAUCUGUAAGCUUAACAGCGGAUGAAUUGGCGCGAAGAAACAUUGUGGAUCCUGCAGUCUGCAAGGAAUGCUCCGACCAUUCACUGAAGACGGUGAUGGAGCUUUGCCUAAGGUGUCUGUCAAAUGAGCAGUCCGAUAGUCCCUCGGUUGAAGAUGUGAUAUGGAAUCUGCAGUUUGCAGCUCAGGUUCAGGACUCAUGGCGUCGGGACUCUCACAGCGCCCACUGCUCUCCAGGCCACGUAGCGUUGGCAAGAUCUGCAUCUGAUUUGUUACAGUGAUGAGGGAUGUUGCAUGUUUAUAUGAAUGAUGAAAAUGGUUAUGUUCAUUUGUUUUUGUCUGUCUAAGGUUAAUGAAAAGCCAGUACCUACAAUUUUGCUGCUGCAGAUAAAUGCAUUAUUUCAAGGUUAACUUAA
Ipomoea nil (Japanese morning glory) is the source of this 2702-nucleotide RNA transcript. It is a transcript of the gene named probable inactive leucine-rich repeat receptor-like protein kinase At3g03770, with no coding region annotated. The transcript is spliced from 7 exons. NCBI's taxonomy places the organism in Eukaryota, Viridiplantae, Streptophyta, Magnoliopsida, Solanales, Convolvulaceae. The record is from RefSeq and is a predicted model, not a curated record.